RNAcentral lists this ribosomal RNA (30 nucleotides) under Chenopodium berlandieri var. boscianum. Lineage: Eukaryota; Viridiplantae; Streptophyta; Magnoliopsida; Caryophyllales; Amaranthaceae. RNAcentral also lists the same sequence under 1 other name. The record is from RNAcentral.
CCUCCUUGGAAGUCCUCGUGUUGCACCCCU